GUCAGGAUAGCUCAGUUGGUAGAGAAUGAGACUCUUAAUCUCAGGAUUGUGGGUUCAAGCCCCACGUUAGGUA
Non-coding RNA from Podarcis lilfordi (Lilford's wall lizard), 73 nucleotides. Lineage: Eukaryota; Metazoa; Chordata; Lepidosauria; Squamata; Lacertidae. The record is from the annotation of a GenBank genome assembly.